UCAGUUGGUAUCUUACUUAUU
RNAcentral lists this non-coding RNA (21 nucleotides) under Caenorhabditis elegans. Lineage: Eukaryota; Metazoa; Nematoda; Chromadorea; Rhabditida; Rhabditidae. The record is from RNAcentral.